Small nuclear RNA from Ostrinia furnacalis (Asian corn borer), 188 nucleotides. RefSeq annotates it as U2 spliceosomal RNA. The transcript has a single exon. NCBI's taxonomy places the organism in Eukaryota, Metazoa, Arthropoda, Insecta, Lepidoptera, Crambidae. The record is from RefSeq and is a predicted model, not a curated record.
AUCGCUUCUCGGCCUUUUGGCUAAGAUCAAAGUGUAGUAUCUGUUCUUUUCAGCUUAAUAUCUGAAAGUUCUCUCACCGAGGGACCAGUAUAUUAAACUGAUUUUUGUAUGACGAGAGGAUGUUCGGGGCUCGCUCCACUCAAGGGUCGGCCUGGCAUUGCAGUGCCGCCGGGAUCAGCCCACAAAAA